Molecule: transfer RNA, 65 nt
Filed under: Dipodomys ordii (Ord's kangaroo rat)
Lineage: Eukaryota; Metazoa; Chordata; Mammalia; Rodentia; Heteromyidae
Rfam family: tRNA
About the family: Transfer RNA (tRNA) molecules are approximately 80 nucleotides in length. Their secondary structure includes four short double-helical elements and three loops (D, anti-codon, and T loops).
Source: Rfam by way of RNAcentral
GGUGGCUGAGUGGUAGAGCACUUGCCUUGCAUGCAUGAGGCCCUGGGUUCGAUUCCCCAGCACCA